AGCCAUGCAGUAAGCACAAAGCGAACUAUUCUUUCGCCUUUUACUAAAGAAUACCGUGUACUUGCUGUUUACAGUGGCAUACAGUAAUUUUUGGAAGGGCCCUAUUCAUUCUUAUUAGAGCU
This 122-nucleotide small nuclear RNA is filed under the name Ricinus communis (castor bean). Its description in RNAcentral is "U5 spliceosomal RNA". It matches the Rfam family "U5 spliceosomal RNA". From Rfam's summary of the family: U5 RNA is a component of both types of known spliceosome. The precise function of this molecule is unknown, though it is known that the 5' loop is required for splice site selection and p220 binding, and that both the 3' stem-loop and the Sm site are important for Sm protein binding and cap methylation. Lineage: Eukaryota; Viridiplantae; Streptophyta; Magnoliopsida; Malpighiales; Euphorbiaceae. The record is from Rfam by way of RNAcentral.